GUGAAUCAUCGAAUCUUUGAACGCACCUUGCGCUCCUUGGUAUUCCGAGGAGCAUGCCUGUUUGAGUGUCAUUAAAUUCUCAACUUCAAUAACUUUUGUUAAUGAAGCUUGGAUGUGGAGGUGUGCAGGUCUACACUCAGUGUGGUCUGCUCCUCUGAAAUGUAUUAGUGGGUUAGGCUCCUAAUCUAUUGGUGUGAUAAUUAUCUACGCCGUGGACUAGGAUGCUUGUAUAGACCUGCUUCUAACCGUCCGCAAGGACAAUACUUGACAAUUUUGACCUCAAAUCAGGUAAGACUACCC
This 300-nucleotide unclassified non-coding RNA is filed under the name uncultured Coprinopsis. RNAcentral describes it as "sequence contains 5.8S rRNA gene, ITS2". The stretch from base 1 to 71 matches the Rfam family "5.8S ribosomal RNA", at positions 84 to 154 of the family's 154-position model. Lineage: Eukaryota; Fungi; Basidiomycota; Agaricomycetes; Agaricales; Psathyrellaceae. The record is from RNAcentral.